UUGUUGUGGCACGACCGCCGCUUAAAGAUUUCCAAAGGCUAUUAGAAGUUUUAAGAGAAGACAAUGCGGGUACAGAGUAAAAUAGCGUACAGGGGAAGGAGUAUAAAUGAAAUAAAGCAAAGACGAAGAGGGAAAUCUGGUAACAGAAAUGCAGAGUACAUAUCAGAUACGAUGGCGCGAUUGAUGAAAACAAACUCACAAAAUAAUGCCGAUGUAUACAGACGGAGCUCACGUCCCACCACUUGACCAAGACCAGCUUACAUUCUUACAACAUAACAACUAAAAAAAACGAAUAACGAAAGGUACAUAAAUUCUUUAGUAUAAGUUUCAAAACAGAAG
This is a long non-coding RNA of Rhagoletis pomonella (apple maggot), 339 nucleotides long. RefSeq lists it as uncharacterized. The transcript has 3 exons. Lineage: Eukaryota; Metazoa; Arthropoda; Insecta; Diptera; Tephritidae. The record is from RefSeq and is a predicted model, not a curated record.